UACGGAGGAUGCGAGCGUUAUCCGGAUUUAUUGGGUUUAAAGGGUGCGUAGGCGGAAUAUCAAGUCAGCGGUAAAAAUUCGGGGCUCAACCUCCGCCCGCCGUUGAAACUGUGUGACUGGAGUGCAGGAGAGGUAAGCGGAACUCCUGGUGUAGCGGUGAAAUGCGUAGAUAUCAGGAGGAACACCAGUGGCGAAGGCGGCUUACUGGACUGUAACUGACGUUGAGGCUCGAAAGCGUGGGGAGCAAACAGG
RNAcentral lists this ribosomal RNA (252 nucleotides) under uncultured bacterium. Its description in RNAcentral is "partial 16S ribosomal RNA". It matches the Rfam family "Bacterial small subunit ribosomal RNA", at positions 524 to 776 of the family's 1533-position model. The record is from RNAcentral.